RNAcentral lists this long non-coding RNA (1234 nucleotides) under Oryzias sinensis (Chinese medaka). RNAcentral describes it as "lncRNA (ENSOSIG00000020001.1)". The record is from RNAcentral. Lineage: Eukaryota; Metazoa; Chordata; Actinopteri; Beloniformes; Adrianichthyidae.
CACAGACACAUUUUUAAUGGCAAAAGCGGCUGCAGCAGCCUGUGACAUCUCCUUAGGAUAAUAUGUGCUCACUUCCCAGUUUUUCCCUGUUGUCAACAUUCAAAAAAUAAAAAUAAUCAGAGAGAAUGACUCCAAGCUGUGUGGCUGUCAUUCUAUCGUGUAUCAUUGAGAUUUUCACUGUCUGUAAUCAUCUGUAAUGAAUAUUUUUAUUUAUUUUUUCGUAAAGACACUCUUCAGUUUCUGCCCUGCAUCCUGUCUGGAAGCCUUUGACUAACUUUUGUUACUCAUCGACGUGGAAAUGUAAAGACUGUGCCCAUACUUAUUCAAGACGAUCUGAACUCCUAAAACAUUACAAACUCGACCAUCAUCAUCCAUAUUCUCUGAUUUCAUUUUCAGAUAAAUGCAGACUUCUUGAGAGUUACAACAAUUCCUUUGGAGGCAAAGUUUUUUGCACAGUUGGACAAACACUCCACCAAACUUCAAGAGGUCAUCUGGAGCAAUGGAGGGCGUGUGAAAGAGCAGACCACCAACAUCUUAGAAGUUCUGGAUGAAGCGUCUGUAUGACAUGAGUGGUCCAUAGAGUAGUUGUGUGGUUAAGUGAACUUUUAACUAAUGAGAAGCGUUCUUUUUCAGAUUGUUGACAUUACCAUCAGAGGAGAAGCCAUCCUAAAAUCUCUGAUCUACUUGAGUGAAUCUUUUGAGCACCUCAUUAAAGAACACCAGAACGGGCUGGACAGUGAUGCUCCGCAGAUUGAAACCAUGGCGAUCUUUUCCACUGGGAGAGAGGAUCUUCUCCGUCCACCAACAGACAUCAAGAUAGUGAUGGAUGGAAAACAGGUUCUGAAUGAAGUGCCCUAUAUUUCAACCGCCUAUCUCAUGUUCUUGGAACUGACAUAUUCACUCAACCUAAAAUUUCCCAAAAAUCUGCAGUACACUCUUGAAUUCAUUCAAAAAGUCCUCAUGGAGCUUGGUGGGAAAAAAAGUGUCGCCAAAAGUUUUCAGACUGAACAGCCAGCUUUAAGUUAGUGUCAAUUAAUGUUUUUUUUUUCCCUCACUUCAGUGCAUUGGUAUUGGGAAACAGUUUUGAUGUUGAUACAUCUUAAAGAUGUCAUGUUUUUAAAUUUGGAUGUGGAUGUGUUCAUGGAACAAUAAAUAUUGUUUACAUGAAGAAAUGUGUUCUGAGUCUGUGUACAUCAAUAUAUAAUUCUAAAGCUUAAUUCAGUUAAUUAGAUUG